RNAcentral lists this long non-coding RNA (910 nucleotides) under Eucalyptus grandis. RNAcentral's name for it is "long non-coding RNA (EGRA_LNC000066)". Lineage: Eukaryota; Viridiplantae; Streptophyta; Magnoliopsida; Myrtales; Myrtaceae. The record is from RNAcentral.
UUCCUUCUUCCGUAAACCAUAUCGAUCAACAGCAGGCAAUCAGACUCGAUCACCAGAUUUUUGUUGGUGAGACCUUGAUGCUGCAGGUGAAGCAAAGUCAAGGUAAGGGCCUGUACCUCUGAUUGAAGUGCCGAAGCAGCUGUGAAUCUGCUGGUAUAUACAUCUGUGAGGAAUCCCUGAUGGUUGCGACUUAUACAGGCCAUCGUUCCCUCCCGACUACCAGGACGGUAGGAUCCAUCUAUGUUACAUUUGAGGAAGCCGCGUUCCGGAGGUUGCCAAAAACUCGCAGGUUUGGAGAUAGAAUCCCCUUUGUGCGAGGCCCCUGUUCUGUGGUGAGUCUGAUCCGAGAGCUGUUGGAUUCGUGUUUGGGCCAAGGCGUCGGCAACUGCUCGAUUUGGAUCAAGGCGAUGGCCACGAAAGAUACUGUUGUUGCGCAUACACCAGAUCUGCCACAGGACAUGAGCUAUUGUCUCCAACCCAGGUAAGAGUUUCUGAUACACGGCUCUUUCUGUAAUCCAUUGGUCCAAACGAUGCAUAGCUUGAUUUGAUACAGAGAUAUUCAGAUUAGGAUGAUUCCAGACUCCUAUAGUCCAUGGACAGAAGAAAAAUAGAUGUUCACUGGUUUCGGGGGUUUGCUGAUCACAUAGAGUACAUAUAGGAUCCGGGGUUAUAUGUCGAUGAUAUAGAUUAGCUCUAGUAGCAAGGGCAUUCUGGCAAGCUGUCCAUAGGAAAAUUCGGAUUUUCGGUGCUGCCUGCAUUGUCCAUAUUUUUCGCCAAAGAUUGCUAGGAUUCUGAUAUGAUGUUGAGGCUUGAUGGUUGUUUGGUAUAGCUGCUGAGCGGACUAUAGUAGUGUAAUUGCUCUUUACCGUAUACUGUCCAUCUUUUGUUUCCGUCCAAACUAAUUGGUCAG